This is a long non-coding RNA of Mesocricetus auratus (golden hamster), 1207 nucleotides long. RefSeq lists it as uncharacterized. The transcript has 4 exons. Lineage: Eukaryota; Metazoa; Chordata; Mammalia; Rodentia; Cricetidae. The record is from RefSeq and is a predicted model, not a curated record.
ACAAAUACUGAACGACACUGACCAUUUCCCUCUUGCCAAAGAUUGUAGCCUCUCUUUCCAAAGUCUAAUAGCUUCCCAAUCCUUUCUUCUCUAAGAAGUGCUCUCUCUUUUCAGAAUACUUGUUGAAAACUCAUAUAUCAUAAAUGAACUACAUUAAACUCUCAAGAACCAGGAAGUCCAGUGGUGUCUGAGAAGAAUCAUAACUCAGGCCCAUCUGGGGAUGCUGUGUGGAAGGCUACCCUCCUCCUCUGUCACUGCACAAGGAUCUGGGAAUUGGUCCCUUUGGGACCAAUCUUGGUUCUGCUGAGUAUGGGUGAACUAACUCAUCAGGAGGAGGAAAGAUUCUACAGCUGCUGAAUCCAUCCAUCAAGCUCUGCCUUGUUGUACAUCACAACUCCCUGGCCCCCACUCCAAGAUUCACAUCUUUCCUUGGUCCAAGCUAAGGUGGCACAGACACUGGUUACAUAAUUAACCAUCGUAAACAUACUCCAAGAGCCAGCUGAAGACCAUUGACAGAGAACAGAAGGCAGCCACGGAAGCGGUGGUCAGAGCAUUAAUGGACGUGCAGCAGUGGUCAGAGCAUUAAUGGACAUGCAGGACGUGGAAGAACGAGCCUGAGAUUCUCAAACAGUACCUCAGCUGAGGUGGAAAGAUACCUUCUUCCCCUCCAAGACCAUGACAUGCCAAAUUUCAAAGCACUUUCUCAGGAGUUGCAUGAGCAAAUGUGUCCAGCUGUUCUGAUCUUCAAGAAGGGCAGGGAAGAAAUGAGAGGAGCCAGCUGUUCCCGAGAGCACAUUUUGUCUUCCUUCCUCCUCUCCCAUGCUGAAUCCAUAGCACAGAAUUUAGCAUGACUAUGGUAAGACUUUAGUAUCAGAGGCAGAUAUGGGGAUCCAGGUGUACAUCCAUCCCAAGUGAAUCACAGCCCGAAGAACUGAAACCUUGGAGAGUCAGACUUACAUUGUGCGGUGUGCAGGAAGACUGCCUUACUUGGUCCCAGGGUUCCAAGGAUGGGCUGGGAGAGGAGGUAGGAACUCAGUGUUGCCUGGUGGUGUUGGAGUCAGAUGUGGCUGUUGUGUAAGAAUCAGGAUCUGCUCCCUUCAUCUCUGGGCAGCAGGAGUUUCAGUCUUCUCGGUGUCAGCUGGCCUCCCUGGCCUUUCACACUCGAUUAUACCCUGCCCCGAAAGCUCUGCACUGACUCUCGGACCCA